CGUAGGGUGCAAGCGUUGUCCGGAAUUAUUGGGCGUAAAGAGCUCGUAGGCGGCUUGUCACGUCGACUGUGAAAACCCGGGGCUCAACUCCGGGCCUGCAGUCGAUACGGGCUGGCUUGAGUGCGGUAGGGGAGACUGGAAUUCCUGGUGUAGCGGUGAAAUGCGCAGAUAUCAGGAGGAACACCGGUGGCGAAGGCGGGUCUCUGGGCCGUAACUGACGCUGAGGAGCGAAAGCGUGGGGAGCGAACAGGAUUAGAUACCCUGGUAGUCCACGCCGUAAACGUUGGGCGCUAGGUGUGGGACCCUAUCCACGGGUUCCGUGCCGCAGCUAACGCAUUAAGCGCCCCGCCUGGGGAGUACGGCCGCAAGGCUA
Molecule: ribosomal RNA, 373 nt
Filed under: uncultured organism
Description: bacterial SSU rRNA
Rfam family: Bacterial small subunit ribosomal RNA
Source: RNAcentral